GUCCACGCCCUAAACGAUGCCGAUUUGCUGUUCCGAGUAUCGACCCUCGGGGUGGCGUAGCUAACGCGUUAAAUCGGCCGCCUGGGAAGUACGGCCGCAAGGCUAAAACUCAAAGGAAUAGACGGGGACUCGCACAAGCGGUGGAGCAUGAGGUUUAAUUCGACACUAAACGAAGAACCUUACCAGGGCUUGAAAUCUUAGUGGAAAGCCGUCCGAAAAGGAUGGCCCUCUCUCAAGGACUACUAGGACAGGUGCUGCAUGGUUGUCGU
RNAcentral lists this ribosomal RNA (269 nucleotides) under uncultured bacterium. Its description in RNAcentral is "partial 16S ribosomal RNA". It matches the Rfam family "Bacterial small subunit ribosomal RNA", at positions 793 to 1055 of the family's 1533-position model. The record is from RNAcentral.